This 345-nucleotide unclassified non-coding RNA is filed under the name soil metagenome. RNAcentral describes it as "partial contains 5.8S ribosomal RNA, internal transcribed spacer 2, and large subunit ribosomal RNA". The stretch from base 1 to 120 matches the Rfam family "5.8S ribosomal RNA", at positions 35 to 154 of the family's 154-position model. The record is from RNAcentral.
GAUGAAGAACGUAGCGAAAUGCGAUAAGUAGUGUGAAUUGCAGAAUUCAGUGAAUCAUCGAAUCUUUGAACGCACAUUGCGCCCUUUGGUAUUCCAAAGGGCAUGCCUGUUCGAGCGUCAUUGCUGCCCUCAAGCACGGCUUGUGUGUUGGGCCUCCGUCCUCCUCCCGGGGGACGGGCCCGAAAGGCAGCGGCGGCACCGCGUCCGGUCCUCGAGCGUAUGGGGCUUCGUCACCCGCUCUUGUAGGCCCGGCCGGCGCUUGCCGACACAUCAAUCUUUUUUCCAGGUUGACCUCGGAUCAGGUAGGGAUACCCGCUGAACUUAAGCAUAUCAAUAAGCGGAGGA